RNAcentral lists this unclassified non-coding RNA (225 nucleotides) under Piscirickettsia salmonis. RNAcentral describes it as "partial 16S-23S ribosomal RNA intergenic spacer". Lineage: Bacteria; Pseudomonadati; Pseudomonadota; Gammaproteobacteria; Thiotrichales; Piscirickettsiaceae. The record is from RNAcentral.
UAUUUGUUCUUUAACAAUGUGGUAAAAAGUAUAAGUAAAGAUUCCUUGAUUAAUUUAGGGUUAUUUUUAUUUUCGAUUGAGAUGUAUUUUUAUGUUUUGAUUGAUAAAUGGGAAUAAUUUUUAGUUUAUUUAAUUAACGAGUCUUGGUAAUUUUGAAAACCGGUGUUGAGAUAUAGUUUUGAUUGGUUUUAGUUAUAGAUUUUACGAUUAUUGAAAUAGAGACUA